CAGACCUUGCCUCAAGAAUUAUCUAAGAGCGACCUAACACUGUGUGUGACAGAAACAUCAUAAUUCACACUUCUCCCUAUAAUCUCCGAGUAUCAAUGUUCAAAAUGGAUUGAAAAGAAAUUCCAGAAUGGCCUAUUAAAUACAGCUAUCACAAUUAAAAUGGUAAACUUCCAAAACCCUAAUCAAUCAAAUCCACUUAAAAUUGAAGUAGAAACGCAUCCACAUCAUUCUUUUGUUGAUUCCUGAAUUGCACAGUUAACGGAUGAUGUGGAUGCG
RNAcentral lists this unclassified non-coding RNA (276 nucleotides) under Hevea brasiliensis (rubber tree). Lineage: Eukaryota; Viridiplantae; Streptophyta; Magnoliopsida; Malpighiales; Euphorbiaceae. The record is from RNAcentral.